UACAGAGGUCCCAAGCGUUGUUCGGAUUCACUGGGCGUAAAGGGUGCGUAGGCGGCGCGGUAAGUCGGGUGUGAAAUCUCGGAGCUUAACUCCGAAACUGCAUUCGAUACUGCCGUGCUUGAGGACUGGAGAGGAGACUGGAAUUUACGGUGUAGCGGUGAAAUGCGUAGAUAUUCGCAAGAACACCAGUGGCGAAGGCGGCUCACUGGUCCGGUACUGACGCUGAGGUGCGAAAGCGUGGGGAGCAAACAGG
This 253-nucleotide ribosomal RNA is filed under the name uncultured bacterium. Its description in RNAcentral is "partial 16S ribosomal RNA". It matches the Rfam family "Bacterial small subunit ribosomal RNA", at positions 524 to 776 of the family's 1533-position model. The record is from RNAcentral.